This 83-nucleotide transfer RNA is filed under the name Oligoflexia bacterium. RNAcentral describes it as "tRNA-Leu". It matches the Rfam family "tRNA". From Rfam's summary of the family: Transfer RNA (tRNA) molecules are approximately 80 nucleotides in length. The record is from RNAcentral. Lineage: Bacteria; Pseudomonadati; Bdellovibrionota; Oligoflexia.
GCCGGAGUGGCGAAAUGGCAGACGCGUCGGACUCAAAAUCCGAUACCCGCAAGGGUGUGGGGGUUCAAGUCCCUUCUCCGGCA